UAGGUAGGUGGCAGGCGUUGUCCGGAAUUCCUGGGCGUAAAGCGCACGCAGGCGGUCUGUCAAGUCGGAUGUGAAAUCCCCGGGCUCAACCUGGGAACUGCAUGCGAAACUGGCAGGCUAGAGUCUUGUAGAGGGGGGUAGAAUUCCAGGUGUAGCGGUGAAAUGCGUAGAGAUCUGGAGGAAUACCGGUGGCGAAGGCGGCCCCCUGGACAAAGACUGACGCUCAGGUGCGAAAGCGUGGGGGGCAAACAGG
RNAcentral lists this unclassified non-coding RNA (253 nucleotides) under uncultured Enterobacteriaceae bacterium. RNAcentral describes it as "contains 16S-23S intergenic spacer region". It matches the Rfam family "Bacterial small subunit ribosomal RNA", at positions 524 to 776 of the family's 1533-position model. Lineage: Bacteria; Pseudomonadati; Pseudomonadota; Gammaproteobacteria; Enterobacterales; Enterobacteriaceae. The record is from RNAcentral.